This is a non-coding RNA of Doryrhamphus excisus (bluestripe pipefish), 1249 nucleotides long. The record is from RefSeq and is a predicted model, not a curated record. Lineage: Eukaryota; Metazoa; Chordata; Actinopteri; Syngnathiformes; Syngnathidae.
AAAAUGAACAUCCGAGCCAAGGUGCUUUUUACAUAUCGACCCUCCAUCGCGAGCCACUUGAAAUCCUCACGGCCUGUGGACUUUUUCACAGCGCGACUCUCACCGCCUUUAGGUCCUUUGCUUGACCGGGUCGUUGACGAGCAACAUGCCGAAGAGGAAGUCUCCUGAGGGCCCUGAGGGCAAGGAGGGAUCAAAGGUGACAAAACAAGAGCCCACCAGAAAGUCAGAGAGAUUGUCACUGAAACCUGCACCACCAAAGCCAGAGGCCAAACCUAAGAAGGUCGUCAUCAAGAAGGUGUCGGAUGAAAAAGCGGUGAAGGCCAAGAAAAGCACCACCAAGGGGAAGGACGGCCCGGCCCAGAAUGGAGACGCCAAGACUAAUGAGAUCUUUGUGUGUCGUCCGUCUGUCAGUGUGUCUUCCACCAGAAGCGCAGCGCCCUCCUUGAUGUCAGUGCGAGGGCAGAGCGAGACAGUCAGAGUGAAGGGUACGGCCGAGUCCUCCUAACCCACCUUUGUGUGCCACUAACUCUUUGCUAGAACUCCCAUUAUCAGAACGAUGCUGACGAGGGCAAGUGAAUCGGCCAAGGAGGCGACGGAAGGGAAGGAGUGAAGUCAACAGAUUUGUUCAUUUGUUCUUCACUUGUUCCGCCUUCUGUUCCACGGCAGCAAAAGUUGUUUUCUUUCUUACUAUUUUUUGUACCAUGCUGAUUUUGGUCGACUUGUGGUAGAGAUGAAGGACCAGCAUCCUUAAACCCCGUUCAUGGCUGCAUCUAGCGGCAUGUGUUUCUUCUCUGGAUGAUUAGACAGCUGCAGAUGUUCUUCAUCUUCAUCCCCUUUCCUAGUGUUGUUCCCCUUCUUACAGCUCCUUCAUCGCCCAAUCAUCUUGUCCCUUGUCUCACUGCAUACUAUGUUGGAUAUGUAUGGACGGAUGAUUGCACAAUUUCACUUGUACUUCUGUAUAAGUGACAAGAAUAAAGGCUCGUUCAUUCAUUCGUUCAUUCAUUCAUUCAUCUUCGCCUUUUGUUUAUCCGGGAGGACACCCGCUUACUUGCAGAGCGCUGAGGGAAGGGAAAGAUGGAGAACAUGUGCAGCAUUUUUAUAGUUUGUGGUUUUUAGAACGGCCCUUAGCACCUUUUCUAUAACCCCCCACACCCCGCACAGUGACAUAGCAAUAAGCAGUGGUGCUUGUGUUCAUCACUGGGAGACUCAUUCUGUUGGCAGAAUAUUUUCAAAUAAAAGAAAAAGUUGA